UACGUAGGGGGCAAGCGUUGUCCGGAUUUAUUGGGCGUAAAGAGCGUGUAGGCGGUUUGGUAGGUCCGUUGUGAAAACUCGAGGCUCAACCUCGAGACGCCGAUGGAAACCAUCAGGCUAGAGUCCGGAAGAGGAGAGUGGAAUUCCUGGUGUAGCGGUGAAAUGCGCAGAUAUCAGGAAGAACACCCGUGGCUAAGGCGGCUCUCUAGUACGGUACUGACGCUGAGACGCGAAAGCGUGGGGAGCGAACAGG
Molecule: ribosomal RNA, 253 nt
Filed under: uncultured bacterium
Lineage: Bacteria
Description: partial 16S ribosomal RNA
Rfam family: Bacterial small subunit ribosomal RNA
Source: RNAcentral